RNAcentral lists this ribosomal RNA (495 nucleotides) under uncultured bacterium. RNAcentral's name for it is "partial 16S ribosomal RNA". It matches the Rfam family "Bacterial small subunit ribosomal RNA", at positions 29 to 506 of the family's 1533-position model. The record is from RNAcentral.
AUGAACGCUGGCGGCGUGCCUCAUCCAUGCCAGUCGCGCGAACAGACGAGGAGCUUGCUCCUCUGACGUUAGCGGCGGACGGGUGAGUAACACGUGGAUAACCUACCUAUAAGACUGGGAUAACUUCGGGAAACCGGAGCUAAUACCGGAUAAUAUAUUGAACCGCAUGGUUCAAUAGUGAAAGACGGUUUUGCUGUCACUUAUAGAUGGAUCCGCGCCGCAUUAGCUAGUUGGUAAGGUAACGGCUUACCAAGGCGACGAUGCGUAGCCGACCUGAGAGGGUGAUCGGCCACACUGGAACUGAGACACGGUCCAGACUCCUACGGGAGGCAGCAGUAGGGAAUCUUCCGCAAUGGGCGAAAGCCUGACGGAGCAACGCCGCGUGAGUGAUGAAGGUCUUCGGAUCGUAAAACUCUGUUAUUAGGGAAGAACAAAUGUGUAAGUAACUAUGCACGUCUUGACGGUACCUAAUCAGAAAGCCACGGCUAACUACGU